This 381-nucleotide ribosomal RNA is filed under the name uncultured bacterium. Its description in RNAcentral is "bacterial SSU rRNA". It matches the Rfam family "Bacterial small subunit ribosomal RNA", at positions 30 to 412 of the family's 1533-position model. The record is from RNAcentral.
AUUGAACGCUGGCGGCAUGCCUUACACAUGCAAGUCGAACGGCAGCACGGGAGCAAUCCUGGUGGCGAGUGGCGAACGGGUGAGUAAUAUAUCGGAACGUGCCCGGUCGUGGGGAUAACGUAGCGAAAGCUACGCUAAUACCGCAUACGAUCUACGGAUGAAAGCGGGGGAUCGCAAGGCCUCGCGCGAUUGGAGCGGCCGAUAUCAGAUUAGGUAGUUGGUGAGGUAAAGGCGUCACCAAAGCCGACGAUCUGUAGCUGGUCUGAGAGGACGACCAGCCACACUGGGACUGAGACACGGCCCAGACUCCUACGGGAGGCAGCAGUGGGAAUUUUGGACAAUGGCGCAAGCCUGAUCCAGCAAUGCCGCGUGCAGGAUGAA